GACGAACGCUGGCGGCGUGCUUAACACAUGCAAGUCGAACAGAAAGGCCUGCUUUCCCUUGUGGAUUGCGGGUGCUCGAGUGGCGAACGGGUGAGUAACACGUGAGUGAUCUGCCCCCAACUUGGGUAUAAGCCUGGGAAACUGGGUCUAAUUCCCGAUAGGACUGCAGGGUGGUGCCUGUGGUGGAAAACGAUUUUCUAGUGGUUGGGGAUGAGCUCGCGGCCUAUCAGCUUGUUGGUGGGGUAAUGGCCUACCAAGGCGGCGACGGGUAGCCGGCCUGAGAGGGUGGACGGCCACAUUGGGACUGAGAUACGGCCCAGACUCCUACGGGAGGCAGCAGUGGGGAAUAUUGCACAAUGGGCGGAAGCCUGAUGCAGCGACGCCGCGUGGGGGAUGACGGCCUUCGGGUUGUAAACUCCUUUCGACCGCGAGGAAGCCACCUGGUUGGAAGGGUGGUGACGGUAGUGGUAGAAGAAGCACCGGCUAACUACGUG
RNAcentral lists this ribosomal RNA (494 nucleotides) under uncultured bacterium. Its description in RNAcentral is "partial 16S ribosomal RNA". It matches the Rfam family "Bacterial small subunit ribosomal RNA", at positions 28 to 507 of the family's 1533-position model. The record is from RNAcentral.